RNAcentral lists this ribosomal RNA (429 nucleotides) under Pseudomonadota bacterium. Its description in RNAcentral is "Proteobacteria bacterium partial 16S ribosomal RNA". It matches the Rfam family "Bacterial small subunit ribosomal RNA", at positions 355 to 776 of the family's 1533-position model. Lineage: Bacteria; Pseudomonadati; Pseudomonadota. The record is from RNAcentral.
UGGGGAAUAUUGGACAAUGGGCGAAAGCCUGAUCCAGCCAUGCCGCGUGUGUGAAGAAGGUCUUCGGAUUGUAAAGCACUUUAAGUUGGGAGGAAGGGCAGUAAGCGAAUACCUUGCUGUUUUGACGGUACCGACAGAAUAAGCACCGGCUAACUCUGUGCCAGCAGCCGCGGUAAUACAGAGGGUGCAAGCGUUAAUCGGAAUUACUGGGCGUAAAGCGCGCGUAGGUGGUUCGUUAAGUUGAAUGUGAAAGCCCCGGGCUCAACCUGGGAACUGCAUCCCAAACUGGCGAGCUAGAGUAGGGCAGAGGGUGGUGGAAGUUCCUGUGUAGCGGUGAAAUGCGUAGAUAUAGGAAGGAACACCAGUGGCGAAGGCGACCACCUGGGCUCAUACUGACACUGAGGUGCGAAAGCGUGGGGAGCAAACAGG